GGAGUGCCGAGAGGGAAGUUGGCAUUUGAAAGGCUUGCAGUAUCAGCUAAUUGGUCUCAAACCUAACUCAUAAAAAGACCUGUAAUUAUGCUGUUCAGAAUUAACACAGAAGACUGUUGGGUUGGUGGUGGUGGAGAGAAGGAGGGGCAACGAUGGGAGAAAAAGUCCGUUUUUUAAGUGAAUUUAUACUAUUAUAAGACCUGUCGCGGGCCCUGGCUUCCUUCCUUCAAUUACCCACUUCAGAUAGAAGCUUACACAAUUGGAAAAGGAGGCUGGAGAUUCAUCUCCUCUGGACUGUAAAGGUGACAAAUCUCUCUCAACUCUUUGGUUAGAAAAUACAGCUAAGCUCCACUAUGGCACAAACAUGCCCCUGGCAUUGGCUGAUCCAAGAGGGUAAGAGAUUUUUGGAGCAGACCUAGACCCAACCAGGAGCCUGGAGCCAAGACCAGCAGAGCCCAGCUGCCACAA
Cebus imitator (Panamanian white-faced capuchin) is the source of this 468-nucleotide long non-coding RNA. RefSeq lists it as uncharacterized. NCBI's taxonomy places the organism in Eukaryota, Metazoa, Chordata, Mammalia, Primates, Cebidae. The transcript is spliced from 3 exons. The record is from RefSeq and is a predicted model, not a curated record.